UCAGGACGAACGCUGGCGGCGUGCUUAACACAUGCAAGUUGAACGGGACGGAUAUUGAAGCGACUUUCGGAGUGGUGGAUAUAUUGUUUAGUAGCGGACGGGUGAGUAAUGCAUGAGAACCUGCCCUUCAGAGGGGGACAACAGUUGGAAACGGCUGCUAAUACCCCAUAUGCCGAGAGGUGAAAGGAGCGAUCCGCUGAAGGAGAGGCUCAUGUCCUAUCAGCUAGUUGGUGAGGUAAGUGCUCACCAAGGCGAUGACGGGUAGCCGGCCUGAGAGGGCGACCGGCCACACUGGAACUGAGAUACGGUCCAGACUCCUACGGGAGGCAGCAGUGGGGAAUAUUGGGCAAUGGGCGGAAAGCCUGACCCAGCGACGCCGCGUGAGGGAAGAAGGCCUUUGGGUCGUAAACCUCUGUUGUAUGGGAAGAAGGAAGUGACGGUACCAUACGAGGAAGUCCCGGCUAACUACGUGCCAGCAGCCGC
RNAcentral lists this ribosomal RNA (483 nucleotides) under uncultured bacterium. RNAcentral's name for it is "bacterial SSU rRNA". It matches the Rfam family "Bacterial small subunit ribosomal RNA", at positions 24 to 518 of the family's 1533-position model. The record is from RNAcentral.